Molecule: ribosomal RNA, 324 nt
Filed under: uncultured eukaryote
Lineage: Eukaryota
Description: partial 18S ribosomal RNA
Rfam family: Eukaryotic small subunit ribosomal RNA
Source: RNAcentral
CCCUUAGAUGUUCUGGGCCGCACGCGCGCUACACUGAUGCAUUCAACGAGUUUCUUCCUGGUCCGAGAGGAGUGGGUAACCUUUUGAAAGUGCAUCGUGAUAGGGAUAGACUAUUGCAAUUAUUGGUCUUCAAUGAGGAAUUCCUAGUAGACGUAGUUCAUCAGACUGCAUCGAUUACGUCCCUGCCCUUUGUACACACCGCCCGUCGCUCCUACCGAUUGAAUGCUCAGGUGAGCCAUUCGGACUUUCAUCAUGCUGGUUUCCAGUUUUGAUGAAGGAAAGUCUUGCGAACCUUAUCAUUUAGAGGAAGGAGAAGUCGUAACA